AUAUAACUAGGCGGAGGAAAAGAAAUUAACGAAGAUUUCCUUAGUAACGGCGAGUGAAAAGGAAAUAGUCCGGCGCUGAAUCCCGUAGCCUUUGGUUACGGGAACUGUGGCGUGAAGAAGAGCCUAUCCGUCGGGUUUGUCGCUUCGGAAGCUCCCUUGAACGGGACCCCGAAGCAGGUGCGAGGCCUGUGCCGAGGCUCGACCCGUCGGUUUGAGCCUUCUUAGAGUCGGGUUGCUUGAGAGUGCAGCCCUAAGCGGAAGGUAAACCCCUUCUAAGACUAAAUAUGACCACGAGACCGAUAGCGCACAAGUA
Molecule: ribosomal RNA, 313 nt
Filed under: uncultured eukaryote
Lineage: Eukaryota
Description: partial large subunit ribosomal RNA
Rfam family: Eukaryotic large subunit ribosomal RNA
Source: RNAcentral